UUCAUAUGAGAGUUUGAUCCUGGCUCAGGAUGAACGCCGGCGGUGUGCCUAAUACAUGCAAGUCGUACGCACUGGCCCAACUGAUUGAUGGUGCUUGCACCUGAUUGACGAUGGAUCACCAGUGAGUGGCGGACGGGUGAGUAACACGUAGGUAACCUGCCCCGGAGCGGGGGAUAACAUUUGGAAACAGAUGCUAAUACCGCAUAACAACAAAAGCCGCAUGGUUUUUGUUUGAAAGAUGGCUUUGGCUAUCACUCUGGGAUGGACCUGCGGUGCAUUAGCUAGUUGGUAAGGU
Molecule: ribosomal RNA, 295 nt
Filed under: Limosilactobacillus reuteri
Lineage: Bacteria; Bacillati; Bacillota; Bacilli; Lactobacillales; Lactobacillaceae
Description: Lactobacillus reuteri partial 16S ribosomal RNA
Rfam family: Bacterial small subunit ribosomal RNA
Source: RNAcentral